Molecule: non-coding RNA, 25 nt
Filed under: Rattus norvegicus (Norway rat)
Lineage: Eukaryota; Metazoa; Chordata; Mammalia; Rodentia; Muridae
Source: RNAcentral
UGAUGAUCUGCACCUGCACUCUCCU